GACGAACGCUGGCGGCGUGCUUAAUACAUGCAAGUCGAACGGAAAGGCCCCUUUGGUGUUACUCGUGUGGCGACCGGGUGAGUAAGACUUACGUAACCUGCCCUUGCCUUCGGGAUAACUUCAGGAUACUGGGGCUAAUACCGAUAAGGCAUCCUUGCUGCAUGCAGGGGGUUGGAGAGCUUCGGCGGUUUUGGAUGGACUCGCGGCUUAUCAGCUUGUUUGUGGGGUAGUGGCUUACCAAGGCGUUGACGGGUAGCCGGCCUGAGAGGGCGACCGGCCCCCUAGGGACUGAGGGACGGCGCAGAAUGGUACCGGAGGCAGCAGUGGGGAGUAUUGCACAAUGGGGCGGAGCCUGAUGAGACAGCGCUCCGUGCGGAAUGACGGGCUUCUGGUGGAAAACCGCGUUGAGCAGGGGAGGCGCAUGUGGUGACGGUACCUGCAGAGGAAGCAACGGCUAACUACGUG
This 465-nucleotide ribosomal RNA is filed under the name uncultured bacterium. RNAcentral describes it as "partial 16S ribosomal RNA". It matches the Rfam family "Bacterial small subunit ribosomal RNA", at positions 28 to 507 of the family's 1533-position model. The record is from RNAcentral.